This 69-nucleotide transfer RNA is filed under the name Dipodomys ordii (Ord's kangaroo rat). It matches the Rfam family "tRNA". From Rfam's summary of the family: Transfer RNA (tRNA) molecules are approximately 80 nucleotides in length. Their secondary structure includes four short double-helical elements and three loops (D, anti-codon, and T loops). Further hydrogen bonds mediate the characteristic L-shaped molecular structure. tRNAs have two regions of fundamental functional importance: the anti-codon, which is responsible for specific mRNA codon recognition, and the 3' end, to which the tRNAs corresponding amino acid is attached (by aminoacyl-tRNA synthetases). tRNAs cope with the degeneracy of the genetic code in two manners: having more than one tRNA (with a specific anti-codon) for a particular amino acid; and 'wobble' base-pairing, i.e. permitting non-standard base-pairing at the 3rd anti-codon position. Lineage: Eukaryota; Metazoa; Chordata; Mammalia; Rodentia; Heteromyidae. The record is from Rfam by way of RNAcentral.
GGGGGUGAGGCUCAAGUGAGUACCUGCCUAGCAAGUAUGAGAUCCUGAGUUCAAAUCCCAGCUCCAUCA